AAACCAGCACCUCAAGUGGUCAGGAUGAUUAUUGGGCCUAAAGCAUCCGUAGCCGGCUCUGUAAGUUUUCGGUUAAAUCUGUACGCUCAACGUACAGGCUGUCGGGAAUACUGCAGAGCUAGGGAGUGGGAGAGGUAGACGGUACUCGGGAGGAAGGGGUAAAAUCCUUUGAUCUUUCGAUGACCACCUGUGGCGAAGGCGGUCUACCAGAACAUGUCCGACGGUGAGGGAUGAAAGCUGGGGGAGCAAACCGGAUUAGAAACCCCGGUAGUCC
RNAcentral lists this ribosomal RNA (274 nucleotides) under uncultured bacterium. Its description in RNAcentral is "partial 16S ribosomal RNA". It matches the Rfam family "Archaeal small subunit ribosomal RNA", at positions 473 to 747 of the family's 1478-position model. The record is from RNAcentral.